CCUACGGGAGGCAGCAGUGGGGAAUAUUGGACAAUGGGCGAAAGCCUGAUCCAGCCAUGCCGCGUGUGUGAAGAAGGCCUUCGGGUUGUAAAGCACUUUCAGUGGGGAAGAAAGCCUUGGGGCGAAUACCCUCGAGGAAGGACAUCACCCACAGAAGAAGCACCGGCUAACUCCGUGCCAGCAGCCGCGGUAAUACGGAGGGUGCGAGCGUUAAUCGGAAUUACUGGGCGUAAAGCGCGCGUAGGCGGUCUGAUAAGCCGGUUGUGAAAGCCCCGGGCUCAACCUGGGAACGGCAUCCGGAACUGUCAGGCUAGAGUGCAGGAGAGGAAGGUAGAAUUCCCGGUGUAGCGGUGAAAUGCGUAGAGAUCGGGAGGAAUACCAGUGGCGAAGGCGGCCUUCUGGACUGACACUGACGCUGAGGUGCGAAAGCGUGGGUAGCAAACAGGAUUAGAUACCCCAGUAGUC
RNAcentral lists this ribosomal RNA (465 nucleotides) under Vreelandella stevensii. Its description in RNAcentral is "partial 16S ribosomal RNA". It matches the Rfam family "Bacterial small subunit ribosomal RNA", at positions 338 to 795 of the family's 1533-position model. The record is from RNAcentral. Lineage: Bacteria; Pseudomonadati; Pseudomonadota; Gammaproteobacteria; Oceanospirillales; Halomonadaceae.